CGGGAUAGCUCAGCUGGUAGAGCAGAGGACUGAAAAUCCUCGUGUCA
This 47-nucleotide transfer RNA is filed under the name Adolphia infesta. Its description in RNAcentral is "partial tRNA-Phe". The record is from RNAcentral. RNAcentral also lists the same sequence under 3 other names. Lineage: Eukaryota; Viridiplantae; Streptophyta; Magnoliopsida; Rosales; Rhamnaceae.